GACGAACGCUGGCGGCGUGCUUAACACAUGCCAGUCGAACGGAAAGGCCCUGCUUUUGUGGGGUGCUCGAGUGGCGAACGGGUGAGUAACACGUGAGUAACCUGCCCUUGACUUUGGGAUAACUUCAGGAAACUGGGGCUAAUACCGGAUAGGAGCUCCUGCUGCAUGGUGGGGGUUGGAAAGUUUCGGCGGUUGGGGAUGGACUCGCGGCUUAUCAGCUUGUUGGUGGGGUAGUGGCUUACCAAGGCUUUGACGGGUAGCCGGCCUGAGAGGGUGACCGGCCACAUUGGGACUGAGAUACGGCCCAGACUCCUACGGGAGGCAGCAGUGGGGAAUAGUGCACAAUGGGCGGAAGCCUGAUGCAGCAACGCCGCGUGCGGGAUGACGGCCUUCGGGUUGUAAACCGCUUUCGCCUGUGACGAAGCGUGAGUGACGGUAAUGGGUAAAGAAGCACCGGCUAACUACGU
RNAcentral lists this ribosomal RNA (467 nucleotides) under uncultured bacterium. RNAcentral describes it as "partial 16S ribosomal RNA". It matches the Rfam family "Bacterial small subunit ribosomal RNA", at positions 28 to 506 of the family's 1533-position model. The record is from RNAcentral.